RNAcentral lists this ribosomal RNA (542 nucleotides) under uncultured archaeon. RNAcentral describes it as "bacterial SSU rRNA". It matches the Rfam family "Archaeal small subunit ribosomal RNA", at positions 457 to 997 of the family's 1478-position model. The record is from RNAcentral.
GUCAGCAGCCGCGGUAACACCGGCGGCCCGAGUGGUGAUCGUGAUUAUUGGGUCUAAAGGGUCCGUAGCCGGUUUGGUCAGUCCUCCGGGAAAUCUGAUAGCUCAACUAUUAGGCUUUCGGGGGAUACUGCCAGACUUGGAACCGGGAGAGGUAAGAGGUACUACAGGGGUAGGAGUGAAAUCUUGUAAUCCCUGUGGGACCACCUGUGGCGAAGGCGUCUUACCAGAACGGGUUCGACGGUGAGGGACGAAAGCUGGGGGCACGAACCGGAUUAGAUACCCGGGUAGUCCCAGCCGUAAACGAUGCUCGCUAGGUGUCAGGCAUGGCGCGACCGUGUCUGGUGCCGCAGGGAAGCCGUGAAGCGAGCCACCUGGGAAGUACGGCCGCAAGGCUGAAACUUAAAGGAAUUGGCGGGGGAGCACAACAACGGGUGGAAGCCUGCGGUUUAAUUGGACUCAACGCCGGACAACUCACCGGGGGCGACAGCAAUACGUAGGCCAAGCUGAAGACUUUGCCUGAAUCGCUGAGAAGUGGUGCAUGG